Ictidomys tridecemlineatus (thirteen-lined ground squirrel) is the source of this 1679-nucleotide long non-coding RNA. Lineage: Eukaryota; Metazoa; Chordata; Mammalia; Rodentia; Sciuridae. The record is from Ensembl.
GGCGCAGGAAGCGGGAAACCCAAGGCGAAGCCAAAGCGCUUCCCGCGGACCCGGCUCCGGAAGUUCCGGGGUCCGUCGCGCCAGCUCCGCGCAUGCGCAGGUCUGCGCUUUGGGUGUGGCGGUGCGCGCCCGGCCCUCGGUCUCUGGAGAAGAGGGCGGGCGGGGAGAGGUCAUGUGGCCGGGAUUGCGGCAUUUUGGGCCCAAUCCGAGUCGUUGUGGGAAAAGCCCUUGUGGAGCAAUUCGGGUAGCCCCGGUCCUGGCGGAGCCCUGACUCGGUGUGUCCGUUUCUGACUUCUCGGUUCUGUUCUGGACGCGGAGGACCCGGUGGUUCUCGCUCGGUGUCCCCGGAGUGGAACCGGAGGCGCCCGUUAGUUCCUUCAGGACCGAGGGGCCCGCUCGGUCUCAGGUCCACCUCGGUCUCCGCGGAACGGUCCCGGAGUCGCGGGAGAGCGCCCCGUGGUAAAACAGCACCCAGAAAAAGAGCCUGCACCCAUCUCGGGGUGAGGCUGGGGCAGUGCACGGAGAGUCGAGAUUCUUCUACAGCCCCACCGACUGGUCACAGCUCCCAGCAGGAACGACGUCAAGCACUACACCGCCCUAAGAAAUGCCGGCGCCACCCCGCCUGGACCCCGCGGCUGGGGAGGCUGAGGCCAGAGGAUUCCCAAGUUCAAAGCCAGCCUCAGCAGUUUAUCAGUGCACUAAGCAACUCAAUGAGACCCUGUCUCUAAAUAAAAUACAAAAAAGGGCUGGGGACGUGGCUCACUGGUAGAGUGCUUGUCUCGCACUGCGAGGCACUGGUUUGGAUCCUCAGCACCACAUAAAAAUAAAUUAGAAAACAAAGAUUGUGUCCAUCUGCAACUAAAAAAAAAAAAAAUUAAAGGUGGGGUGCUGGGAUGUACUUCAGUAGUUAAGCGCCCCUGGUUUCAAUCCCUGGUACCAUUCUUUUUUUUAAUGGGAAAAAAAAAAGGUGAAAAAUCCUUCUGGGAGAAAUUCUCUUCACAUUGGAGAACCAAUUCUGGGGCUGCAGAAUAAGCCUAAUCAGGGAAAGUCCCAGUGAAGGGCGGAGAUCAUGGACUUCAUCCUGAAAGAUGGUGUAGUUGAAGUAUUUAAUAGGAGAAUCAGAGAAAAUAGGCAAGUGUUUAUUGAAUGUAAUUUAUUUAUUUAUUUUUGCAUGCAUGUUAUUGAGGAUUGAACCCAGGAAUGGGAUUACAGGCCUGCCCAGGGAGCCUGGCUCAUCACUUCGUGAAGUUAGAAUAGAUUGUUUUCAUCAGUGUUGUGUGUAGCAUGUAUCAUUAUUAAGCAUUAGUGUGAAUGUGUAAGUAGCCAAAUUCAAAUGAUGCCUCAUAAAAUGUUAAAUUACUUAUAAAUACAAAUGAAAUUCAAAGUCAUACCUACUUCUGAGUCUUUCUUAAUCAGGGUUAUUAUGAAAUAAUCUUACUUCAGGGUUUUACCAAAGUAUCUACACUCGUAUGACAUAAAACUACUUUAUCAAUAUGUAGUCCCCCCCCACACCCCUGCCAUUAUGUAGUCUUUUAAAAGAUGCUCCUGAGAUCAAUUCAUUUUGUAAUUUCCACUUGCGGUAUAAUCGUUUGUCCUUCCAGUUAAGACUGGCUGUUCAAAUAGACUAAUAAACCCAAAUAACUGUCUCAAGGUAAGGUAGGGUUCUCAGAUCUUAGGCU